CAGAAGCAGCAGCCAGGGUGAGUAGCCCCAUUUAAACUUCUGAGGAGUGCUCUCUUAGGGAUGAUUAUACCUCUGAGUUUAAAGAGGGGGAAGGACCAAAGAGUGUCUUAAAGUUGUUUUCCCUAGCACUGUGGGUGGAUAGGAGGGAUUUGAAAGAAAAUGGGAGGUUUCAGCAUUGUCCUUUGCAUAAGAGGGUUCGGAAGGAAAAGAGGGAAGGGGAGGAGGAGUAGAAAGAACACUGUUGUAAACCCCAAAUUCUCCCCUUCAACUGAAGCAUCUUGUAAAAAAAAAAAAAAAGAAGAAGAAAACUGGCCACGUGCUGUUUUCAGGAUGGGCGCUGGUGGUGCGCCGAGGACUAACAGUGCUUCCUCCCUCCGAAUGUGAAGGCAUUAAGCUCCCGUUCCUCUUGCCUUUCCCCGUUUCGAAGGUUUGAACCAGUCAGCCUCAGCCAGCUCACUGCAGGACGCGGAAGUUUUGAAAAAGCACUAGGGUUACGGACAGAGACCAUCGUUUUAGAACUACCACUCAGUUCCAACACCGGCCCACUUCAGAAGGACCCCAAACCAAAGAGAGCCAACAAGAGAGAGAGAGGGCGGGCCCCCCACCUAAGCCAGCCAGGGGAGGCCCAGCGCGGACUCCAUAUUCUGCAACGACUGUCUCCUCACACUGUCACCGCUCUGCUGGGAUUUCCAACACCUUCACCUCCCCCAAGGCGCCCGGCCCAAAAACACCCCGAAGCGGAGGCGAGAGGGAGGCCCGGGGCGCACCGGGCGGUGGUCACAUGCACUAGCGCGCCGGGAGCACCACGUUGCCCCGGCUGCGGAGGAAUGCCGGGAAGGGGGCGCGCACUUACACCCGCGCAGACGCACCCUUCGCGCCUCGGGCCCGCACCCGCCUCCCACCCUGGCCGCCGCGACCCGCACCGAACGCACAGGCCCCGCGGGCCGCCGGCGCAGCGCAUGGCGCCCAACUGUCACCCGCCCGCCCGGCCACUCCCUCCCCGCGGCCACACGCCCCUCGAGUCGCCGCAAGCCCCUCACCCGCCUCACGUUUUCCGCCGGCCCUAACUGGCUCUCCCUGCCACCCCACCCCUCGGCACACUCGCCGCGGGGCUCCAGCUCAAGGCGGAAGGUGCCCGGCAUUGGAGGGAAACCACUGCAUCCAAUGACACGUUGGGUUUCCUCCUUCCCUCGUCCUCCCUUAACUGACCUCAGUCUGUCUCCGAAUGGCGAUUCUCCGGCCCAACACCAUCUCCUCGACAGCAAACUUGCUAACUUUUAAAUCCCGAGUCCGUGCGGCCCGCCGGAGCUCGGCGCCGGGCUGCCCCUGACAUAUGCUCAUUAAGCGUUUACAACGUGGGGACGCUCGCAACGCGGCCGAAACCCGGGCGCGGUAGGAGAGGGGGCCUCCCAGGAAGGUGCCCACCGGAGACCGUCUGGACCAACGCGCGGCCGGGGACAGAAGGCCCUUCCCCGGCACCAGCACCCACCCCCUCUUCUAUGGCGAGGUGCAGUCCCAGGAAGUGUUACACAGGAAAUGGUCUGCCUUCCAAUACCGGCUCUGCUGCUACUUUCUAUGGAUCUUUUCCCCUUUUUGGACUUCAGUUUUCCCUUAUCUAAAAAAAAGUCUAAAUGUUCCAGAGCAACAGAAAGAGAGGGCAAGACGGGGGCGGGGGGAUCUUUCAUCCAUCUACUGGUUCUCUCCACAAAUGGCCGCAACAGCCAGUUGUGGACCAAGCCAAAGCCAGGAAACAAGAACCCCAUGCAGAUAUCCCACAUGGGUGGCAGGGACCCAAGUACCUGGGCCAUCACCUGAUGCUUUCCCAGCACUAGCAGGAAGCUGGAUGGGAAGCAGAGCAGCCCAGACAUACAAGCAUUCUAACUAGUGUUCCAGUAUGGGAUUCCAGCUCGCAAAUGGUGGCUUGACCUGCUGCACCAUAAUGCAGGCCCCAUCUGAGCUAUCUCAAUAGCACUGUAUGUUAUGUCCUGCCUGUACUGGCAAAAAGAAUGCACACGGACCACAGGAGUGAGGCUGCAAGGUGAUGGAGCCGCCCAGUUGCUGAUGCCCGGGACAGUCACUGGAUCGGUGAGGUUUGCAACUUCCCACAGCAUCUGGAUCUCUGGGUCUGUUUGAAAGCAGUGGUAAGAACAAGGAACUACAAAUGAAGGUGAGUGAUGUGGCAAAGUGUGUAGAAAUCACUAGAUUAAGAAAAGGAAAAUCCUGGGAUUGGCUCUGUGGCACAGUGGCGCAGUGGGUUAAUGCCCUGGCCUGAAGUGCCGGCAUCCUGUAUGGGUGCAGAUUCUAGUCCUGACUGCUCCUCUUCCCAUCCAGCUCUCUGCUGUGGCCCGGGAUAGCAGUAGAAGAUGGCCCAAGUCCUUGGGCCCCUGCACCCACGUGGGAGACCUGGAAGAAGCUCCUGGCUCCUGGCUUCGGAUUGAUGCAGCUCUGGCUGUUGUAGCUAAUUGGGGAGUGAACCAUCGGAUGGAAGACCCUCUCUCUCUCUCUCUAUGCCUCUCCUCCCCCUGUGUAACUCUGACUUGCAAAUAAAUAAAUCUUAAAAAAAAAAUAAGAUAAAGAAAAUCCAACUCAUUUUGCAUGGGCAGCACUGCCUAUUGUGUUUUCUGAAAACUUCCAAGGUAAUGGCUCCUGGGAGCCCUACACCUGAGAAGAGCAGGAAGCAUUACAGUAUGUCUGCCACUCUCUGGCAAAAACAAAAACAAAAACAAAAA
This is a non-coding RNA of Oryctolagus cuniculus (rabbit), 2729 nucleotides long. Lineage: Eukaryota; Metazoa; Chordata; Mammalia; Lagomorpha; Leporidae. The record is from RefSeq and is a predicted model, not a curated record.